GGGACGCAACUAUGAAGAAUGUGGGCAUUAGCCUAACGUUGACAUUUUUCAAGGGGCAGAAGUUGGGUCAUGGGUUUUAUUCCCAUUGCAAGCAAUGGAGCUUUAUUUUCUUCAACAUUUUUAAGGGGGCAAAUGCCCCUUAGGGGCCCUUGCUAGCUUUGCCCAUGAUGCCAACAAACUAAUAUUCCUUUUCUUUUUAUUUUUCUCCUUUUGUGAGUCAAG
RNAcentral lists this long non-coding RNA (222 nucleotides) under Vitis vinifera (wine grape). RNAcentral describes it as "long non-coding RNA (VVIN_LNC006233)". The record is from RNAcentral. Lineage: Eukaryota; Viridiplantae; Streptophyta; Magnoliopsida; Vitales; Vitaceae.